CUAAGCGUGCAGUUUCAAAUUCCUUCUACUUCCUCAUGACUCGAACCAAGGUUACCCCUCGCAGGGACGUCAAUCAACGCCGUGUUCUCUCUUUGGAGGAAGAAGGUCGUCAAGCGGCCACUAGAGCUGGGCUUACUCAUCCAUGGGACCAUCGUCCUAUCCGUGAGCGUACCCGCAGUCCCCCUCCUCUGCCUCGUCGCUCUCCCAGACUGCAUCCCGGAGAGUCUUCUUCCUCACCAGCUGCUCGUGCUCCUCGGCCUAUGGCCACCCUGGAAAGCUUGUCGGAUUCGAUUGAUGAUUUGCGUUCCUCUCUCCGCGAUGGUAUUAUGGUGAC
This 334-nucleotide long non-coding RNA is filed under the name Rosa chinensis. Its description in RNAcentral is "sRNA RchiOBHm_Chr1g0371681". The record is from RNAcentral. Lineage: Eukaryota; Viridiplantae; Streptophyta; Magnoliopsida; Rosales; Rosaceae.